CAGCCGCCGCGGUAAUACGUAGGUGGCAAGCGUUGUCCGGAAUUAUUGGGCGUAAAGGGCUCGCAGGCGGUUUCUUAAGUCUGAUGUGAAAGCCCCCGGCUCAACCGGGGAGGGUCAUUGGAAACUGGGAAACUUGAGUGCAGAAGAGGAGAGUGGAAUUCCACGUGUAGCGGUGAAAUGCGUAGAGAUGUGGAGGAACACCAGUGGCGAAGGCGACUCUCUGGUCUGUAACUGACGCUGAGGAGCGGAAGCGUGGGGAGCGAACAGGAUUAGAUACCCCGGUAGUCCCUGUCUCUUAUAC
RNAcentral lists this ribosomal RNA (301 nucleotides) under uncultured bacterium. RNAcentral describes it as "partial 16S ribosomal RNA". It matches the Rfam family "Bacterial small subunit ribosomal RNA", at positions 509 to 807 of the family's 1533-position model. The record is from RNAcentral.